Apis mellifera (honey bee) is the source of this 2400-nucleotide RNA transcript. It is a transcript of the gene named serine/arginine-rich splicing factor 1B, with no coding region annotated. The transcript has 5 exons. The record is from RefSeq and is a predicted model, not a curated record. Lineage: Eukaryota; Metazoa; Arthropoda; Insecta; Hymenoptera; Apidae.
UGCUUCUUCCCGACCGGUACCACCAUCUUGUUUGUUUCAUCAAUAAAGAGAGUGUAAGACUUAAGAGACGAUUAAAGUUUUUAGAAGUGUUUUUUAUUUGUGUCUUGUAUACAGUAAAUUAUAAUACAAACUUUGAAUAUGUCUCACGGUGGUAGAAAUGAAUGUAGAAUUUAUGUAGGCAAUUUACCUCCCGAUAUUAGAACGAAAGACAUUCAAGAUCUUUUUUAUAAGUUCGGUAAAGUUAUUUUUGUUGAUUUAAAAAAUCGUAGAGGACCACCUUUUGCUUUCGUCGAAUUUGAUGAUCCAAGAGAUGCUGAGGAUGCAGUACAUGCAAGAGAUGGAUAUGAUUAUGAUGGUUAUAGACUACGUGUAGAGUUUCCAAGAGGUGGAGGUCCUAGUAAUAAUUUUCGUGGUGGUCGUGGAGCAGGAGAUAGUGGAAGAGGUGGUCGAGGUGAAAUGAGUAAUUCUCGAGGACGUGGACCACCUGCAAGAAGAUCUCAAUAUAGAGUUCUUGUUACGGGUCUGCCUCCUUCUGGUAGUUGGCAAGAUUUAAAGGAUCAUAUGCGUGAAGCUGGUGAUGUUUGCUUUGCUGAUGUUUUUAAAGAUGGUACUGGAGUUGUAGAAUUCUUACGAUAUGAAGAUAUGAAGUAUGCUGUAAAGAAAUUAGAUGAUUCAAGAUUUAGGUCUCAUGAGGGUGAAGUAGCAUAUAUUCGAGUGAAAGAAGAUCAUAACAGUGGCGAUAGGGGACGCAGUGAAGAUAGGGAAAGAGGUCGAAGUCAUUCACGAAGCUAUAGUCCACGGCGUCGUGGCUCACCUACCUAUUCACCAUUGCGACGUAAUUACUCGCGAUCAAGAUCUCGCUCCAGAUCUCGUUCAUACGACUAGUGUGGGGGGAACACGUUGAAUUUCGGCCUCAUCGAUUCGAUAACACGGUUCUAUCUACGAAACAUAAAAGAGACUGCAGCUGCACAUCGAGCUCCAUGCAAGAAAACAUUGAUUAACGCUUGAACGAAAAUAUUACCCAACAAAAUGACCGAUAAUUUAUAUAUACGUGUAUAAAUUGUAUAUAUGUAUAUGAAAAUACAUAUAUAUAUAUAUUUAUAUAUAUAUAUAUAUGUAUAUAUCAAAGUAGUCCUGUUAGUAUAGUAAAAUACAAUUACAUAAUAAUAAUAAAUGUUAAAUAUUCAAUUAUAUGUAAAAAUAAACGAAUAGUAUCAAUAGAGAUCAAUAGAAUAUAUUAUAAUAAUCAGCUUGUCAGGGGCUGUUCAUCCUGUGUGAUUUAUUUUUCUUUUUUCUCUCCUUUUUUUUUACUCCUUUUUUAACAGUGUAUAUGAGUAUGUGAUCGUAUGAGUAUAUGAUUAAUUAUUACGUUUUCAUUUUUUUAACGCAUUGCCGAUAUUUUUUAUAGAAGAUUAAAUAUUCUUUGUAUAUUAAGAUAUAUCUUGAUACAAUAAAAGUGAUUAUUUUGAUAAUUGUUUAAAAAUGUGCAAAAUCGAAAUUACUCGAGACUAAUUGAAAAAAUUCAGAAAAGAUUGGAUUAUGUUUACUUUCAUUGUUCAGAAUUAUAAAAGUUUCGUCUUAGAAUCAUUUUAUCCGAUCCCAUCCGAUUUCACCCGAAUUUUUCAAAUUUUCGACACUUCUAUCAUUCUCUAUAAAAAAGAACAUAUCAUAUAAAAAUAUGAAAUAUUAUUGCAUUAUUAUCAAAUUGUAAAUAGAUAUCCUUACACAGUGAAACGUCUUGUUGCAGAAUUUGAAAACAGAUAAUUUUAUGAAAAAUUUUAUCUUUUUCAACAUAAUAGAAAUAAUUUUUUUUUUUGCAUAAGGAUUUAUAAUCUAUCAUUUUUUAAAAUCUUUUUACUCAUAUUUAUGAACAAAAAUAUUUCUACUAUAUUUUUAUUACAUUAAAAAUUUAUCUAAAAAUCAAAAUAGGAAUCUUCAGCAAUGUGUUAAUUAUAUUUAAAUUAUUUGAGUAGUACAUUUAUGUAUCAAGGCUUGAUCUUCCCUUUGUUCUCUUUCUUCAUCAGUCCCAUUCCUCCCUUUGUGUGCAUGUGUCUCAUAUGUGUGACAUUUGUCUCGUGAUUCGAACUAUAGCAGCCUGAAAAAAAAUUCUAAUUUUCCCUCAAACAUGGUAUAUUUUAUGUAUACGGAUAUAAAAAAAAAUGUAAGAUCCCCAAGGAAGGAUACGUGAAAAUUAUUCGAUCGAGAUUAUACAUCUUUACAGGAUUUUAAUUUGAUCAGAGCUUCGUGUGAUCCUAUUGGUCGUCGUACACCUCACAAACUCAUACAUAAGAGUCGAUAAAGAUAUAAUAAUACGUACAGAUACAAAAUUAAGCAGAUCGUGGUGGCUAGCGAUGGGAGAUAAUAUUGAGUGGUCCUUGCAUCAAUGCAAUAAAAACGGAA